UCCAUAAGUGAAAAAACGUUUUCUACUCUUUACACUCCAUGGACAGAUGGCAUUCGGUUAUUGGAUAAAAUAAUGUCACUAGAGUUGUGGUUUUUCUCUUAUCAUUUAUGGACCAUUGAUCCACAUCUAUGGUUGAGAUUUAGUCUCAUAUAAUUAAUGCAAAGGGAGACUUUAAGGGUUGGUGAGAAGAAGUCAGCCGGCACUUUUUCUUUUCAUUUGGCAGAAAUUGUCCCUUCAAGUUUCUCUCUCUCUCUCUCGUUCCUUCAUGUUUCUGCUUCUUCUUUUCUCUUUUGAAUUGAAGAACCAGUGAAGAUUAUUGUAAUAAUCUUGUUGUUAUCUGAUGAUGAUAGAACUAUGGUACAGAGUUUUAGGCCUUGAUUGUGGCUGGGAAAUCUGUAGUGUGUUCUUGGGAAGGUUUUGUCUAGUCUUGUGGCUAGGUUUUCGAGUUAUUGAGAGAUCCUUGUGGAUCGAUGAUCAUAUAGUGGGUAUGAUGUGAUUUCUUCAACUGGUUGUACACUCUCUUGAAGGUUUCUUGCUAGUGACGGGCUUACCUCUGAGCCCCCCAGAUUAGGCCAUUUCAGGCUGAACUGGGUGAAAAUUUCUGUGUUCGAUUUUCUGUUCCUGCUUUAUUUUACUGUUUUACGAUUGUUUGUUGGUGUUGGGUCGAUAAUCCUAACAAAUCUGGUAUCAGAGCUCGGUUUUCGAGGCAUCUGCGUGACAUACCUUGCCCUGAGGAUAUUUUAGUGGGUUGAGAAAAAGGUUAAACGGUCGAACAUAUUUUUUUUUCGGAUCAGCAGAUUUUUUUUUCGGAUAUUUCUUGAGAUUUUAAUUUCUGUCCAGAUCUUAAAGAUCUGCACAGAUAUUUAGGAAACUAAUUUUUCUAUUUAAGUGCGAAGGUUAAGAACAAAAAUUAGUCAGCCCCUGACCGGCUCCAUUUUUGGCAAGUGAUAGGGUGAUCUCUGAAACUCUUGUGAUUGCACUGUUGUUCAACGGUGCUGUGGGUACUUGGGCGAUGAUGUAGGGUACGGUUCUGUCACUAGCAUUAUAGCAACAAGAGAGGAAGUGCGCGGUUUGAGAACCAAGGUGAAGAUUUGUGAAGUCGUGAUUAUCAAACAGCACAUCCAUAAGUGAAAAAACGUUUUCUACUCUUUAUACUCCAUGGACAGAUGGCAUUCGGUUAUUGGAUAAAAUAAUGUCACUAGAGUUGUGGUUUUUCUCUUAUCAUGUAUGGACCAUUGAUCCACAUCUAUGGUUGAGAUUUAGUCUCAUAUAAUUAAUGCAAAGGGAGAUUUUAAGGGUUGGUGAGAAGAAGUCAGCCGGCACUUUUUCUUUUCAUUUGGCAGAAAUUGUCCCUUCAAGUUUCUCUCUCUCUCUCUCUCUCUCUUUCCUUCAUGUUUCUGCUUCUUCUUUUCUCUUUUGAAUUGAAGAACCAAUGAAGAUUAUUGUAAUAAUCUUGUUGUUAUCUGAUGAUGAUAGAACUAUGGUACAGAGUUUUAGGCCUUGAUUGUGGCUGGUAAAUCUGUAGUGUGUUCUUGGGAAGGUUUUGUCUAGUCUUGUGGCUAGGUUUUCGAGUUAUUGAGAGAUCCUUGUGGAUCGAUGAUCAUAUAGUGGGUAUGAUGUGGUUUCUUCAACUGGUUGUAUACUCUCUUGAAGAUUUCUUGCUAGUGACGGGCUUACCUCUGAGCCCCCCCAGAUUAGGCCAUUUCAGGCUGAGCUGGGUGAAAA
Long non-coding RNA from Olea europaea var. sylvestris, 1725 nucleotides. RefSeq lists it as uncharacterized. The transcript is spliced from 2 exons. Lineage: Eukaryota; Viridiplantae; Streptophyta; Magnoliopsida; Lamiales; Oleaceae. The record is from RefSeq and is a predicted model, not a curated record.